RNAcentral lists this ribosomal RNA (468 nucleotides) under uncultured bacterium. RNAcentral's name for it is "partial 16S ribosomal RNA". It matches the Rfam family "Bacterial small subunit ribosomal RNA", at positions 29 to 523 of the family's 1533-position model. The record is from RNAcentral.
AACAAACGCUGGCGGCGUGCUUAAUACAUGCAAGUCGAACGUGGUAGCAAUACCAAGUGGCGCACGGGUGAGUAACACGUGGAUAAUCUGCCUUAGAGUGGGGAAUAACUAGUCGAAAGAUUAGCUAAUACCGCAUGAGACCACAGGAUCUUCGGAUCUAGGGGUUAAAGUUUUUCGCUCUAAGAUGAGUCCGCGUCAGAUUAGGUAGUUGGUAGGGUAAUGGCCUACCAAGCCGACGAUCUGUAGCUGGUCUGAGAGGAUGAUCAGCCACACUGGAACUGAGACACGGUCCAGACUCCUACGGGAGGCAGCAGUAGGGAAUAUUGCGCAAUGGGCGAAAGCCUGACGCAGCAACGCCGCGUGAGUGAUGAAGGAUUUCGGUUCGUAAAGCUCUGUUGCAGGGGAAAAAGAAAGUGAUUGUACUCUGCGAGAAAGGGACGGCAAACUUCGUGCCAGCCGCCGCCGUAA